UGGCGKCGGCCUAACACAUGCAAGUCGAGCGGAAACGAGUUAUCUGAACCUUCGGGGAACGAUAACGGCGUCGAGCGGCGGACGGGUGAGUAAUGCCUAGGAAAUUGCCCUGAUGUGGGGGAUAACCAUUGGAAACGAUGGCUAAUACCGCAUGAUGCCUACGGGCCAAAGAGGGGGACCUUCGGGCCUCUCGCGUCAGGAUAUGCCUAGGUGGGAUUAGCUAGUUGGUGAGGUAAGGGCUCACCAAGGCGACGAUCCCUAGCUGGUCUGAGAGGAUGAUCAGCCACACUGGAACUGAGACACGGUCCAGACUCCUACGGGAGGCAGCAGUGGGGAAUAUUGCACAAUGGGCGCAAGCCUGAUGCAGCCAUGCCGCGUGUAUGAAGAAGGCCUUCGGGUUGUAAAGUACUUUCAGUCGUGAGGAAGGUGGUAGUGUUAAUAGCACUAUCAUUUGACGUUAGCGACAGAAGAAGCACCGGCUAACUCCGUGCCAGCAGCCGCGGUAAUACGGAGGGUGCGAGCGUUAAUCGGAAUUACUGGGCGUAAAGCGCAUGCAGGUGGUUUGUUAAGUCAGAUGUGAAAGCCCGGGGCUCAACCUCGGAAUAGCAUUUGAAACUGGCAGACUAGAGUACUGUAGAGGGGGGUAGAAUUUCAGGUGUAGCGGUGAAAUGCGUAGAGAUCUGAAGGAAUACC
Molecule: ribosomal RNA, 693 nt
Filed under: Vibrio alginolyticus
Lineage: Bacteria; Pseudomonadati; Pseudomonadota; Gammaproteobacteria; Vibrionales; Vibrionaceae
Description: bacterial SSU rRNA
Rfam family: Bacterial small subunit ribosomal RNA
Source: RNAcentral